CCUUCCCCCGCGCCCCCCUCCUCCCUCCUCCCCCCUCGGCUUCAAAACAAACCGUCACCAAAAUGGUGCAGAGGUGAAGGAGGGAGCGGGAGGAAGGGGAAGAGGUGGCGGCUCGGCCCGGGCGCUGCGGGGACAGUUGGAUUGAGGAGCGGUGGCUGCAGCUCAUCCCUGGCAGGAGCAGAAGAUGCAGGAGGCUGCGUAGCAGGUUUCUGAGCAGCUGCUGCCAUCUCAGCCCCGCUGGAUCUGGCCACACAUGACGGUACCAUGAACUGAGCACGGAGCCACGCA
This is a non-coding RNA of Lonchura striata (white-rumped munia), 288 nucleotides long. The record is from RefSeq and is a predicted model, not a curated record. NCBI's taxonomy places the organism in Eukaryota, Metazoa, Chordata, Aves, Passeriformes, Estrildidae.